Molecule: ribosomal RNA, 383 nt
Filed under: uncultured bacterium
Lineage: Bacteria
Description: bacterial SSU rRNA
Rfam family: Bacterial small subunit ribosomal RNA
Source: RNAcentral
GACGAACGCUGGCGGCGUGCUUAACACAUGCAAGUCGAGCGGUAAGGCCCUUCGGGGUACACGAGCGGCGAACGGGUGAGUAACACGUGGGUGACCUGCCUCUAGCUCUGGGAUAAGCCUGGGAAACUGGGUCUAAUACCGGAUAUGACUCCACGGCGCAUGUUGUGGGGUGGAAAGCCUUGUGUGGCUAGAGAUGGGCCCGCGGCCUAUCAGCUUGUUGGUGGGGUGAUGGCCUACCAAGGCGACGACGGGUAGCCGGCCUGAGAGGGCGACCGGCCACACUGGGACUGAGACACGGCCCAGACUCCUACGGGAGGCAGCAGUGGGGAAUCUUGCGCAAUGGGCGAAGGCCUGACGCAGCGACGCCGCGUGAGGGAUGACGG